Long non-coding RNA from Triplophysa rosa, 1248 nucleotides. RefSeq lists it as uncharacterized. The transcript has 3 exons. NCBI's taxonomy places the organism in Eukaryota, Metazoa, Chordata, Actinopteri, Cypriniformes, Nemacheilidae. The record is from RefSeq and is a predicted model, not a curated record.
CAUGGAGUAUUCUCUAAUACAGUUUUGUAUUUGAACUCAAAUGGCCGUGGCUUUAGGGAUAAUCUGUGCUGCAUCACUGCAGUUGCUACACAGAGAGAGAGAGAGAUAGCAGAUACUGUCACGUUAACUCGCUGUAGACCAGCAGGCAUGCAAGAUAAAUAAUCCAAGAGAGAUAUUGCAACACACAUCACUCAACUGCUGCCUCACUUGCAUCCAGUCUGUGGAUUAACCCGUCCAGCAACUGAGCAGUUGAAUAUGAAGGUCAUCUACAGAACCGAAAACAUAAAAGAAGGACAUUUUGUGCUCAUCUCUUCCAUCGAACACUCCCUAAAUGUUAAAUGGUUAACAUGGUACAACAACGAUCUUGGAAAAGGAGCAAUUUUGAAAUACUUCGGAGGUCCAGUUCAAGGAGAGCCAGGGGGACCUUCAUCAGCUUCUGACCAGCAAGCAGCAGGACCAUCAGCAACUGCUCCUGACGAGCAAGCAGCAGGACCAUCAGCAUGGAUGCUGGUCCAGUAUAUACGUAUUUAAGUUACCACAGCGAGCAGGAUGCAGUUCAUGGCCUGACCUGAUGGUAGAGCGGAGAAUGGGAAGCGGCGACCUGACAAGAGCUGAGAUGAUAGAGCUGGAUAAAGAAGGACGCGGUCACCUGACACGUCUUCAUGGCCUGACCUGAUGGUAGAGCGGAGAAUGGGAAGCGGCGACCUGACAAGAGCUGAGAUGAUAGAGCUGGAUAAAGAAGGACGCGGUCAACUGACACGUCUUCAUGGCCUGACCUGAUGGUAGAGCGGAGAAUGGGAAGUGGCGACCUGACAAGAGCUGAGAUGAUAGAGCUGGAUAAAGAAGGAUGUGGUCACCUGGCACGUCUUCACCACAAAAUUUCAAAUGCUAUUAGAUUAUUAAUGAUAAUCUUAAACUAUAAUUUACCUUAUUAGUAAGUUUAUUUAUUUUAUUUAGCCUUGUUGUGCAAGCUCUCUGGAGCUUGUGCAGAGGCAGCAGCUUUUGCAAGAGGGGAACUGGAAUCCCCUGGUUGGGCCUGGGUUCUCCUGAGGUUUUUUUUCUCGAUUAGAGUUUUGGGUUCCUCGCCACCGUUUGCAUACUGUUUUUUGCACUAUUUGCCUGGCCGGGGGGGGGCUGCUUUAGAAUUUUAAAGUUUUACUUAAUAUUGCAUAUAGGAAUUUAUAGUCUGUUAUAUUUGACCUGUGCUUCUCUCUCCUUUAUCUUAAAUGUGUGCUCUCACUGAGCGUG